RNAcentral lists this unclassified non-coding RNA (352 nucleotides) under soil metagenome. Its description in RNAcentral is "partial contains 5.8S ribosomal RNA, internal transcribed spacer 2, and large subunit ribosomal RNA". The stretch from base 1 to 120 matches the Rfam family "5.8S ribosomal RNA", at positions 35 to 154 of the family's 154-position model. The record is from RNAcentral.
GAUGAAGAACGUAGCGAAAUGCGAUAAGUAAUGUGAAUUGCAGAAUUCAGUGAAUCAUCGAAUCUUUGAACGCACAUUGCGCCCGCCAGUAUUCUGGCGGGCAUGCCUGUUCGAGCGUCAUUACAACCCUCAGGCCCCCGGGCCUGGCGUUGGGGAUCGGCGGAGCCCCCCGUGGGCACACGCCGUCCCCCAAAUACAGUGGCGGUCCCGCCGCAGCUUCCAUCGCGUAGUAGCUAACACCUCGCGACUGGAGAGCGGCGCGGCCACGCCGUAAAACACCCAACUCUUCUGAAGUUGACCUCGAAUCAGGUAGGAAUACCCGCUGAACUUAAGCAUAUCAAUAAGCGAAGGA